GCCACCAUAGCUCAGUUGGUAGAGCAGCGGUUUUGUAAACCGCAGGUCGUCGGUUCGAGUCCGACUGGUGGCU
RNAcentral lists this transfer RNA (73 nucleotides) under Phycisphaeraceae bacterium. RNAcentral's name for it is "tRNA-Thr". It matches the Rfam family "tRNA". Rfam says of the family: Transfer RNA (tRNA) molecules are approximately 80 nucleotides in length. Their secondary structure includes four short double-helical elements and three loops (D, anti-codon, and T loops). The record is from RNAcentral. Lineage: Bacteria; Pseudomonadati; Planctomycetota; Phycisphaerae; Phycisphaerales; Phycisphaeraceae. RNAcentral also lists the same sequence under 1 other name.